This 392-nucleotide ribosomal RNA is filed under the name uncultured bacterium. Its description in RNAcentral is "bacterial SSU rRNA". It matches the Rfam family "Bacterial small subunit ribosomal RNA", at positions 335 to 719 of the family's 1533-position model. The record is from RNAcentral.
ACUCCUACGGGAGGCAGCAGUGGGGAAUAUUGCACAAUGGGGGAAACCCUGAUGCAGCCAUGCCGCGUGUGUGAAGAAGGCCUUGGUUGUAAAGCACUUUCAGUAGGGAGGAAGGUAGUGUAGUUAACACCUGCAUUAUUUGUACGUUACCUACAGAAGAAGCACCGGCUAACUCCGUGCCAGCAGCCGCGGUAAGUACGGAGGGUGCGAGCGUUAAUCGGAAUUACUGGGCGUAAAGCGCAUGCAGGCGGCCUGUUAAGUCAGAUGUGAAAGCCCGGGGCUUAACCUCGGAAUUGCAUUUGAAACUGGCAGGCUAGAGUCUUGUAGAGGGGUUAGGAAUUUCAGGUGUAGCGGUGAAAUGCGUAGAGAUCUGAAGGAAUACCAGUGGCGAA